GGGAAUUAAUACAUUGCUUCACUGAUGCUUCACCGUGGGCAUAUGCAUUAAGCUUUGCUACACUCUUUACAGUUCCCUUGAUGCAUUGUGUUGAUAUACAGUGUAUGGAACGCUGUUUGCCAGUGAGUGUUUGCAACCUAUGGUAUACAAAAGUUGUGGUCAUUAUCUCAUUGAUUAUUACAAAUUUGCUGUUGGCUGUACUUUUGAGUGUAAGUG
Schistocerca americana (American grasshopper) is the source of this 216-nucleotide long non-coding RNA. RefSeq lists it as uncharacterized. The transcript is spliced from 3 exons. The record is from RefSeq and is a predicted model, not a curated record. NCBI's taxonomy places the organism in Eukaryota, Metazoa, Arthropoda, Insecta, Orthoptera, Acrididae.